GGCAAGAUGGCCGAGCGGUCUAAGGCGCUGUGUUCAGGAUAAACUCUGAGUUUCGCAGUCCGAAAGGGCGUGGGUUCGAAUCCCACUCUUGUCA
Apodospora peruviana is the source of this 94-nucleotide non-coding RNA. The record is from the annotation of a GenBank genome assembly. NCBI's taxonomy places the organism in Eukaryota, Fungi, Ascomycota, Sordariomycetes, Sordariales, Lasiosphaeriaceae.